RNAcentral lists this long non-coding RNA (591 nucleotides) under Homo sapiens (human). RNAcentral describes it as "HSALNT0291808". Lineage: Eukaryota; Metazoa; Chordata; Mammalia; Primates; Hominidae. The record is from RNAcentral.
UAUGUAUAUGGUGUAUGUGUAUAGAUACAUACACACACACACCAUAGACAGAGAAGAUAUUAAACAUCCAGAAAAAAAGAUCAUCUACAGAAAGACGAUGCUGAUAGCUAAUUUCUUAACCACAGCAACAAAAGAGAAGCCAAAAAAACACAAUGGAAUAUGAUCUAUAAUAUGCUGAUAAAAAUUUCACACCUGUUGAAACUAUCUUUCAGAAAUGAGGAUAAAAUAAAGUCAUUUUCAGACAAAAACUGGGAGAAUUUAUUAAUACAUUAUCAGUAAAUGCAGAAGGAAAAUGAUCCCAGCUGGAAUAUCUGAUUUGUAAAGAGUAAUGGUGGGAAAAAGUUUGAGUGAAUACAUAUAUUUGAGACAUUAUAUUCAUAUGAUGGAACACUACAUAGCAAUAAAAUGAACUUGGCUAUAUGUAUCGAGAUGUGUGAAUCUCAAAAGCAUGACAUUGAACUGAUGCAGCAAGACACAGAAUACAGGGAGAAGCACUAGAACUGUGAUUUCCUGAAGGAAAUAUAAUGAUCUGUUCAUCGAAGUAGAAGAUAUUGUUGGCCACGUGGGAUCGAAGACCAAAAACAUGCAGCG